Molecule: long non-coding RNA, 2443 nt
Filed under: Felis catus (domestic cat)
Lineage: Eukaryota; Metazoa; Chordata; Mammalia; Carnivora; Felidae
Description: lncRNA (ENSFCAG00000045092.2)
Source: RNAcentral
GCCCCCUCCCUCAGUAGGGAAGGUUUGGGGGCGUUCGGAGGGCUCCGUGCUGAUGACUCAGAGCCUGGAGGCUGCUUUGGAUUCUGUGUCUCCCUCUUUCUCUGACACUCCCAUGCUCACGCUCUCUCUCUCUCUUUCUUUCAAAAAUAACCAUUAAAAAAAUGACUAUACAAUGAAAUAAUACAUGGCCAUUGAAAAGAGCGAGGUAAACCAAUCCAGUUAAUGUUAGAAACUUCUAAAACAUACUGUUAAGAAAAGGAAGAUGCAGAUCAGUUUAUGUAAUAUCUUAUUUUGUAAAAAAAAAAAAAAAACAAAAAACCCUCAAAAAUUUCUAUAUCUGUAUGUAAAUAUACUUAUUUAUAAAUGUAUAAAAAUGUAAACAUUUAUUUUUAUUGUAUUAUAUUAAUAUAUUAUGAAUAUAUAUAUAAACUUUUAAAAGGAUAUGUGCUAGUUUGUCAAAUGUGUUUGGGGGUGGGGAGUAGAGGAGAGGAGGCUAGUUAAACAAAAAGAGGUCUUUAUUUAAAAACCGUAUAUGUGACUUAUUAUUCCAUUCAGGUAAAAUCAUACAAAUACGAGUAUGUGCUUAUGACAGAUGAAAGAGGGACAGUCACCAGUAUGCUAAUGAUCAUCAUCUCUGGAAUGUGGGAUUUCAGGUCAGCAGCUUCUGCUUCCAGAAAGAAGGGAAAACAAAAGGGAGAGGAAGAAAGAAAGGAGAGAGAGACGGAAAGGGAGGAGAGAAAAGAAGGAGAAAGAAAAAGAAGGAGGAGCACAGGGACAAGGAACGGAAGAAAAGGAAAGAAACAGAAUAGUUCCAAAUGUUCCACUUGGAUGCUGGUGGGACAAGGCAAACGUCCCCCUCCCCCCAGGUUUCUGGACUGGCUCUGAAGGAUUCUCUUCCCAGGUUCCUGGUAAUCCCAGUUCUUCAAGAAGUGUGCAAAUUCAUGUUGGUGGCCUAUUUUCUUACUGGAGAUGUAACUGUUAGUAUUGUCCAUAUUGCUGACAUUCUUGUCAUAUUCCUAGAUAUUAGAUAAAAAAAAGUUUUAAUCAGUUAUAAAUGAGAAUGUACAUACAAUAAUUCUAAAACUGUGUCUUCAUCAAAGUUUGCUUGCAACUAUGAUACAUGUGGCUUUAGUGCCAAUUCUUAUUAAGUGUGCAGUGCAAUGUGCUGACACCCAUGACACAUUUCCCCUUAUUCAGUCACAAAAAUACUUCUAAUUAGCCAUAAAUGAGAAUGUACACACAACAUUUCCAAUAGCUACUCUGCUCCUAUCAAAGUUCACAUCAGAGAAAAUUUAAACUGUUGCCACUGAGCUGCCUUGCCCCAAUUCCAACAACUCUUAUUUCAAAAAUGCUUAGAAAAUUGAAUCUUUAGAUCUCGCUGGGUAAACAGAUCUGAGGUAGAUUUAUUUCAACCCAAGUCCUUUAUUUGAGAUAUGUGUGCUCCUGAACCCAACUAAAAUGCAUACCAUAGCCAUUUCAAAGGCAGUGAUAAAAUUACUUGGUUAAAUAUUUUGGCUAGAUUUCCUGUUUCCAGAGACCUGGGCUUUGUAUUCUGUGGCUUCUGCAUUGCCAUGUGGUGAUGUGGGCGGUAUUAAAUGGCACCACAUCUGCCAACCUCCAUAAGUACUGUGCCCCACAGGGAAAGCCCCAGGCACCCAUUACCACUGCGAGCCACAAGGACAAGACAACGCCAAAUCUCAGUAACCACCUUUAAAUUCUCAGACCUUUGGCUUUCUUCAGGAAUCCAGGCUGUAAGCUUCUUAGGAUGACUACAGACCGCAAAGUACCGCCUCAUUUCAGUGUGGAGUCUAUAAAAUCACUUUAGUUAUAAUUCAGAUAUUCUCCAAACUUGAGGCUGCGAAGCAUUCCGAUCUGCUCUUAGAUUUCUGUAUAAUCUCUCCUUCAUUUUAUAACAUUCUUUGUCUUCUGUUGCUCUGUGCAAAUACCAGUGCUUUACAAGUCAUCAGGCCAUGAUUUGUGCGUGGCCUGAUACGUGGAGGUGAAAGGGGAGCUUUAUGUGAGGCAGGGAAAUGGUUCUGUUAAACUUUGCUUGCUUUCACUACCUUUAAAACUCAUUAAAUACGAUUCUGCCUUUUACUUUGCCAAAGUGUUUAAAACCCAUUUUAAUGAAAAAUUCUAAUCCUAUAUAAUCACACCAUAAGCACUUUCUUUCUGUUCAAAGAGGAAACAGUGUUAAAUUUUAAUGCAUACCUCUGGCAGGCUAUAUUAAAAGUGUUUAGUCAGUUUUAAAUCCGAUUAGUGUAACUGUUACAGAUUAGAGAAAAAUCCCAAGUGAUUGGAGCAAGUCCCCAGCUCAAGGGAACUAAUUUAGGGUCCAGGCCUGAUCACGCCAGAAUUAAAAGGAACCUCAAGACUCUUGCAUUCAGUUUGUCCAAAUUUUGUUCCUAAGCUAAUAAAAUAAGGUCCUGUGCUAGGUAGUGCA